Molecule: ribosomal RNA, 253 nt
Filed under: uncultured bacterium
Lineage: Bacteria
Description: partial 16S ribosomal RNA
Rfam family: Bacterial small subunit ribosomal RNA
Source: RNAcentral
GACGAACCGUGCGAACGUUGUUCGGAAUUACUGGGCGUAAAGGGUGCGUAGGCGGCUUUCUAAGUUGGAUGUGAAAACUAUGGGCUCAACCCAUAGCCUGCAUCCAAAACUGGAGAGCUUGGGUUCUGGAGGGGAAAGCGGAAUUCCUGGUGUAGCGGUGAAAUGCGUAGAUAUCAGGAGGAACACCGGUGGCGAAGGCGGCUUUCUGGACAGACACCGACGCUGAGGCACGAAAGCUAGGGGAGCAAACAGG